RNAcentral lists this unclassified non-coding RNA (406 nucleotides) under Hevea brasiliensis (rubber tree). The record is from RNAcentral. Lineage: Eukaryota; Viridiplantae; Streptophyta; Magnoliopsida; Malpighiales; Euphorbiaceae.
ACUGAAGUUAAAUGAAAAGUUUAGGGAUUGUAAGUGAAAUUAAGUCUGUUGAUGUCAAAGAGACUGGUAAUAUAGCUGUCUGGUAAAGUCUACCAAGCUAAUUGGUGAGUAGUUUUGGAUCAGGGUGUCCAACUAAAAAAUGUAGCAUGAUCUUGUUGGUGGUUAUUUUUGUCCAUCAAUGUUCACACAGGGUCUUGUGUUGCCAACAAAUGUCCUUCACAGAGGUUGUAGUUAAGCAACAAGUGGAGGAUCUUACCUUGGUUAAUGUUGCAAUGCAAUCCAUGAUUCUUUACUUUUUUUAUGAGCUGAGAUAUUUUAGUUAGUACAUGCUUUUGCAAUGCAUUAACUUAAAAAUGGAUUUUUCAAAUUGAUAAUAAUGAUCAGGCAUUUGUUAUAUUCUUUAAAG